CAGCCGCCACGGUAAUACGAAGGGUGCAAGCGUCAAUCGGAAUUACUGGGCGUAAAGCGUGCGUAGGCGGUGAGUUAAGUCUGCUGUGAAAUCCCCGGGCUCAACCUGGGAAUGGCAGUGGAUACUGGCUCGCUAGAGUGUGUCAGAGGAUGGUGGAAUUCCCGGUGUAGCGGUGAAAUGCGUAGAGAUCGGGAGGAACAUCAGUGGCGAAGGCGGCCAUCUGGGACAACACUGACGCUGAGGCACGAAAGCGUGGGGAGCAAACAGGAUUAGAUACCCCCGUAGUCCCUGUCUCUUAUAC
Molecule: ribosomal RNA, 301 nt
Filed under: uncultured bacterium
Lineage: Bacteria
Description: partial 16S ribosomal RNA
Rfam family: Bacterial small subunit ribosomal RNA
Source: RNAcentral